GGAAUUUUGGACAAUGGGCGAAAGUCUGAUCCAGCCAUUCCGCGUGCAGGACGAAGGCCUUCGGGUUGUAAACUGCUUUUGUACGGAACGAAAAAGCUCUUAUUAAUACUAGGAGUCCAUGACGGUACCGUAAGAAUAAGCACCGGCUAACUACGUGCCAGCAGCCGCGGUAAUACGUAGGGUGCAAGCGUUAAUCGGAAUUACUGGGCGUAAAGCGUGCGCAGGCGGUUAUAUAAGACAGAUGUGAAAUCCCCGGGCUCAACCUGGGAACUGCAUUUGUGACUGUAUAGCUAGAGUACGGCAGAGGGGGAUGGAAUUCCGCGUGUAGCAGUGAAAUGCGUAGAUAUGCGGAGGAACACCGAUGGCGAAGGCAAUCCCCUGGGCCUGUACUGACGCUCAUGCACGAAAGCGUGGGGAGCAAACAGGAUUAGAUACCCUGGUAGUCCACGCCCUAAACGAUGUCAACUGGUUGUUGGGUCUUCACUGACUCAGUAACGAAGCUAACGCGUGAAGUUGACCGCCUGGGGAGUACGGCCGCAAGGUUGAAACUCAAAUGAAUUGACGG
RNAcentral lists this ribosomal RNA (565 nucleotides) under uncultured bacterium. RNAcentral describes it as "bacterial SSU rRNA". It matches the Rfam family "Bacterial small subunit ribosomal RNA", at positions 358 to 916 of the family's 1533-position model. The record is from RNAcentral.